This 362-nucleotide unclassified non-coding RNA is filed under the name uncultured fungus. RNAcentral describes it as "sequence contains ITS1". The stretch from base 1 to 107 matches the Rfam family "5.8S ribosomal RNA", at positions 50 to 154 of the family's 154-position model. The record is from RNAcentral. Lineage: Eukaryota; Fungi.
GAAAUGCGAUACUUGGUGUGAAUUGCAGAAUCCCGUGAACCAUCGAGUCUUUGAACGCAAGUUGCGCCCGAAGCCAUUAGGCCGAGGGCACGCCUGCCUGGGUGUCACACAUCGUUUCCCCAACGCAAACAUGUAACAAUGUUGCUGCGCGGGGUGUAUGCAGACUGCCAACGACCUCGUGCCUCGCAUCCGGGACGUGUUUGAUCAUACACGGUAUGAACUUGACCUCCCGGACCUGCGACAAAGGGGCACCGGGGACUGUCGGCCCGCAGCAGCCCUGAUGGAACGACUCCCCAUCCAACGGAGCCAAGAACACUCACAACUGCGACCUCAGAUCAGGUAAGAUUACCCGCUGAAUUUAA